This is a long non-coding RNA of Penaeus chinensis, 734 nucleotides long. RefSeq lists it as uncharacterized. The transcript is spliced from 3 exons. The record is from RefSeq and is a predicted model, not a curated record. NCBI's taxonomy places the organism in Eukaryota, Metazoa, Arthropoda, Malacostraca, Decapoda, Penaeidae.
UCCGCUUGGUUCACACGUGUCACGUCGCUCUCCCUCGAACCGGUUGUCCGGAGCCGUAUACGUCAGCUCCGGCCCUUACAAGUCGAGCACCAACCUCUGUGUUGUUUUCGCCUUUUCAUUUCCUGUCAAGUGUCAUAUUAAGAGAUGAAAGCGUAUGAUUAUGAGUUUACUUCAUCAAAGACACACGUGUACAUUAUUUUCCUGAUAUAAGAAAACCGAACGAAAAAAUGUGAUUCCCACGGAACAAAUCAUCUGACAUCAAAUUAACAGUUAUAGAAAUUAUAAUCCUCAGGCUCUCGUCACUUGUGUUUUUUAUCUCUCUGCAAAAAAGGAGAGAGAAGGUACAAAUAUGAAUAAGGAAAGAGAUUAAUGUAAAUGAGAGAUAUAAGGAAAGGAAGCCAGACAUGAGAGACGGUAAACGCAAUCUAUUCGUAAAACAAGCUGACAGAAAAUAUAACAGACCCUAAGAAAGAAACACCGUAACAGCGUCGUAUACAUUUUUCUAUCGCAAGAGCUCUCUGUGACAGCCGGCAGGACAAGGGAGAGGCCCUGCAAGUGCGAGUUAGUGACCAGAACAAAGUAUAUCGUAAAGAAAGAAGCAGCGCUGUUGCACAAGGAGAACAUUAACCGUGUUAUUUCUGCUGUUCUCUCGCUCUUUUUGUAAGUUUUCUUUCAUUUAUUUCGUUAAGAAUUCGGUUUGUCUGAUUUCUUCUCUCUGUCUGUCAAAGAGCCGU